CCUACGGGAGGCAGCAGUGGGGAAUAUUGCACAAUGGGGGAAACCCUGAUCCAGCGACGCCGCGUGAGUGAAGAAGUCAUUAGUUAUGUUAAGCUCUAUUAGUAGGGAAGUAAAUGACGGUACCUGAGUAAGAAGCUCCGGCUAACUACGAUCCAGCAGCCGCGGUAAGAAGUAGGGGGCAAGCGUUAUCCGGAUUUACUGGGUGUAAAGGGAGCGUAGACGGCUGUGCAAGUCUGGAGUGAAAGGCUGGGGCUCAACCCCCGGACUGCUGUUGAAACUGGACGGUUGGAGUGCAGGAGAGGUAAGUGGAAUUCCUAGUGUAGCGGUGAAAUGCGUAGAUAUCAGGAGGAACACCGGUGGCGAAGGCGGCUUACUGGACUGUAACUGACGUUGAGGCUCGAAAGCGUGGGGAGCAAACAGGAUUAGAUACCCGUGUAGUC
Molecule: ribosomal RNA, 440 nt
Filed under: uncultured bacterium
Lineage: Bacteria
Description: partial 16S ribosomal RNA
Rfam family: Bacterial small subunit ribosomal RNA
Source: RNAcentral